Long non-coding RNA from Chiroxiphia lanceolata (lance-tailed manakin), 1456 nucleotides. RefSeq lists it as uncharacterized. The transcript is spliced from 3 exons. The record is from RefSeq and is a predicted model, not a curated record. Lineage: Eukaryota; Metazoa; Chordata; Aves; Passeriformes; Pipridae.
GUUUCAGCGCCCAGCAAAACAUCCCAGCUGCUUCUGCCUCGAUAAACUGGUUCCUGGAAGCCAAACAGGACAUAUUGAAGAAAUCCAGUUUGUGCACCAAACCAGCAGAUGAGUGGAAUUUUUUGUUUGUGUAGCCUUAGAUUUUAAUCAGAUUGUGAACAACAACCAAGAUUGCCCCUUUAUCCAGCCUUCCCAGUGCACUGGUGUCCAUGUUCCCAAGACUGGCAUUGUUAACUGUUUUAGAAGCUCUCAUGACUCCCGAAAGUAUAAACUGCAGGUUGCAGUGGAAGUGUGACAGUGGAGAUGUGUAAGAAGUUGACUUUUAUUAGUUUAUUUGUUUCUGUUAGAAAACUAUUUGUCUAUAAAAGGGAAAGCGGCAUUCAAACUCAAGAUUAACACAAUAUUGAGAUAUAUAGAUAUAUAUAGGUAGAUAGAUAUAUUUCUGAAGGAUGUCCUUGAGUGAAUGUCCUAAGAUCCAGUUUGGAUCUUAGAGUUUGGUAUUAGAGUAGGACAAACUGUGGUGAGAAGACUUUCAUUCUCUGAAUGAAAGCUGGAGAACUGUGUUCCUUGAUUUAUCAUUAUGGUGCUGCUUUGUCUCCCUUAUCAAUUGCUCAGAAUUCAGUGGAUAAAACUGUAUAUAAUGUUUGCUGCCUGGAUUGACUAAUACCUUGGCUGAACCAAAGCCGGGCUUUCUGAUUCAAAGGGAGCUAAAUCCCACUUUUGGGCUGAUGUUUUGGAGAGCACAAAGCAGGUGCUGCACAUGCCGUGGUAAGAACAUGGUCACAGGAACAGAAACCCAGCGCUGAUGAAAAGGAACCACAUCUGCUGGGAGCCAAAUGGGACCUGACUAAACCUCAUCUUAGACUCAUCCUCCCCUUGCUUGUGAGCACAGUGCAACUGUGCUAUUGAAUAGAUUUUAUUUCCAGUUGCUUUUCCUAUGGGAAAAACAAAAACCAAACCAAACCAAAACAAAAUGUGUGGGUAUUUGAACAUACUAGGACAAGUGAGCCACCCUCUCAGGGUGUUUACCCAAUCUUUUAAAAUUUCACUUCCUCUGACAUUUUUAUUUAUCUUGGCACAUAAAUACUAAGCCAAGCUGUUUUCCCUUUCCUGAGCUCAGUGUUUUUAAAGGAAGCUGAUGUUCAGCCUUGCUAAAGAAUUUCAGAGCCCUUGAGAGGAGGACCAUGGAUAAGAAGAACGAUCCACAUCUUGCAGGAAUGUCCUCCCAAAUUUUCUGCUGCUCACAACAAACUGAAAAAAUCUCAACUCAGAAGGACCAUGUGAUGCCAAUGCUGCAGGUCUUGUAUGAUUCAGGAUAAUAUGAUUACAGAAAGUUUAAAGGAGACUUGACCUGAAGAUAAAGACAGUCGUGGAGGCUGAAUUGAUGCAGAGGACAUACAUGACUGCAAUGUGCACAGCAGCAUUUCGGGCACCUGCUUCAGUGAAAAUUCAGAAG